UUUCUUCUGACAAAUGAACAAGUGUUGCUUAUGCCAGGCAAGUUUAAAAGAUAGGGGGUUCUCCUACUGCAGAGCAACAAGCUGCUACACGUCUCUUGCAACUGUGGGAACAGCGGAAUUUACAAUGUAAGCGUUUUGUUUCAUAUUUUGUGAACUAUGUGCCUUCACCUCAAGUCUUUGCUGUAGAUUCAUUGUAGCACAGAAAUACUGCAGAACUAACAGAAAUUCAGUGGAGGGGAUGGGGG
RNAcentral lists this long non-coding RNA (245 nucleotides) under Junco hyemalis (dark-eyed junco). RNAcentral's name for it is "lncRNA (ENSJHYG00000017232.1)". The record is from RNAcentral. Lineage: Eukaryota; Metazoa; Chordata; Aves; Passeriformes; Passerellidae.